This 397-nucleotide ribosomal RNA is filed under the name uncultured bacterium. Its description in RNAcentral is "bacterial SSU rRNA". It matches the Rfam family "Bacterial small subunit ribosomal RNA", at positions 505 to 902 of the family's 1533-position model. The record is from RNAcentral.
CUGCCAGCAGCUGCGGUAAUACGUAGGGUGCGAGCGUUAAUCGGAAUUACUGGGCGUAAAGCGUGCGCAGGCGGUUGUGCAAGACAGAUGUGAAAUCCCCGGGCUCAACCUGGGAACUGCAUUUGUGACUGCACGACUGGAGUGCGGCAGAGGGGGAUGGAAUUCCGCGUGUAGCAGUGAAAUGCGUAGAUAUGCGGAGGAACACCGAUGGCGAAGGCAAUCCCCUGGGCCUGCACUGACGCUCAUGCACGAAAGCGUGGGGAGCAAACAGGAUUAGAUACCCUGGUAGUCCACGCCCUAAACGAUGUCAACUGGUUGUUGGGAGGGUUUCUUCUCAGUAACGUAGCUAACGCGUGAAGUUGACCGCCUGGGGAGUACGGCCGCAAGGUUGAAACUC